Molecule: ribosomal RNA, 555 nt
Filed under: Salmonella enterica subsp. enterica serovar Enteritidis
Lineage: Bacteria; Pseudomonadati; Pseudomonadota; Gammaproteobacteria; Enterobacterales; Enterobacteriaceae
Description: bacterial SSU rRNA
Rfam family: Bacterial small subunit ribosomal RNA
Source: RNAcentral
UUUAUGGAGAGUUUGAUCCUGGCUCAGGAUGAACGCUGGCGGCGUGCCUAAUACAUGCAAGUCGAGCGAACAGACAAGGAGCUUGCUCCUUUGACGUUAGCGGCGGACGGGUGAGUAACACGUGGGUAACCUACCUAUAAGACUGGGAUAACUUCGGGAAACCGGAGCUAAUACCGGAUAAUAUUUCGAACCGCAUGGUUCGAUAGUGAAAGAUGGUUUUGCUAUCACUUAUAGAUGGACCCGCGCCGUAUUAGCUAGUUGGUAAGGUAACGGCUUACCAAGGCGACGAUACGUAGCCGACCUGAGAGGGUGAUCGGCCACACUGGAACUGAGACACGGUCCAGACUCCUACGGGAGGCAGCAGUAGGGAAUCUUCCGCAAUGGGCGAAAGCCUGACGGAGCAACGCCGCGUGAGUGAUGAAGGUCUUCGGAUCGUAAAACUCUGUUAUUAGGGAAGAACAUACGUGUAAGUAACUAUGCACGUCUUGACGGUACCUAAUCAGAAAGCCACGGCUAACUACGUGCCAGCAGCCGCGGUAAUACGUAGGUGGCAAG